CCCUUAGAUGUUCUGGGCUGCACGCGCGCUACACUGAUGCGAUCAACAAGUUUUUCCUAUGUCGAUAGACACGGGUAAUCUUUUGAACUCGCAUCGUGAUGGGGAUAGAUUAUUGUAAUUAUUAAUCUUCAACGAGGAAUUCCUAGUAGGUGCAAAUCAUCAGUUUGCAUCGAUUACGUCCCUGCCCUUUGUACACACCGCCCGUCGCUGCUACCGAUUGGUUGAUCUGGUGAAUUAUUCGGACUGCCGGCUGAAGGGGUUUCCUCAUCUACCAGCGGAAAGUCUUGUUAACCCUAUCAACUAGAGGAAGCAGAAGUCGUAACA
This 324-nucleotide ribosomal RNA is filed under the name uncultured eukaryote. RNAcentral's name for it is "partial 18S ribosomal RNA". It matches the Rfam family "Eukaryotic small subunit ribosomal RNA", at positions 1470 to 1796 of the family's 1831-position model. The record is from RNAcentral.